CCUACGGGAGGCAGCAGUGAGGAAUAUUGGUCAAUGGGCGGGAGCCUGAACCAGCCAAGCCGCGUGAGGGAAGAAGGUACAGCGUAUCGUAAACCUCUUUUGUCAGGGAACAAAGGCGGGGACUAGUCCCCGGAUGAGGGUACCUGAAGAAAAAGCAUCGGCUAACUCCGUGCCAGCAGCCGCGGUAAUACGGGGGCUGCGAGCGUUAUCCGGAUUUAUUGGGUUUAAAGGGUGCGCAGGCGGCCUGUUAAGUCAGCGGGAAAAGCCCGGGGCUCAACCCCGGCGAGCCGUUGAUACUGGCGGGCUGGAGUUGGGGAGAGGUACGCGGAAUGCGCGGUGUAGCGGUGAAAUGCUUAGAGAUCGCGCAGAACCCCGAUUGCGAAGGCAGCGUACCGGCUCCACACUGACGCUGAGGCACGAAAGCGUGGGUAUCGAACAGGAUUAGAUACCCUGGUAGUC
RNAcentral lists this ribosomal RNA (459 nucleotides) under uncultured bacterium. Its description in RNAcentral is "partial 16S ribosomal RNA". It matches the Rfam family "Bacterial small subunit ribosomal RNA", at positions 338 to 795 of the family's 1533-position model. The record is from RNAcentral.